AAAUAUGUUAGGAACAAAAUAUGACUUCUAAUUAUAUUUUGAACCGUUCGAUUCGGUUCAUAUUUU
Molecule: transfer RNA, 66 nt
Filed under: Riftia pachyptila (tube worm)
Lineage: Eukaryota; Metazoa; Annelida; Polychaeta; Sabellida; Siboglinidae
Description: tRNA-Ser
Source: RNAcentral